CAAAAUACUCCACUCUCUCGCCGAGUAGCGCAGAUUGGCUCCCAUACUUAUGACAAGAAAAGGACAUUUUAUAAAACGUCGCACGUGGCAGUGAUGGCAGUGAGCGAGGGCACCCCCUGGGCAGCCGAACGAGCCCAUUUUGAAUUCGUUUUGCAAGCUGGUCUCAAGCCUAGCAUUAGAGUACAAGUACUCCCAAGUCACGUCCCGCGAACGUCCCAACAACGUGCCACAACCUCAAUUUCGGACGUGGAGCCAAGAUAACCGGGCCACAGAGACGAUAUUACAAGGCCGUUCCACUUCACGAAACAACGAGACGACAAUACAACGCAAAAAAAAAAUAAUAAAAGAAUAUAACGCAAGAAGAAAUAAAGGAAAGACAUCAGGAGGAGGAAAAAAUAAAAAAAGAAAACAGCGAAAGGAAAAUUGCCCGUCAUCUUCAAAAGCCAUCUUGUCAUUUCCCCCCCCCCCCUUCGUAUACUAUAGCAGAGAUCGCUCUCGCGCGCCUGGCAACACACAAGUCGGGUGGGGUGUCAGGAAAAGGUGGAGGAGAAAGUCCACUAACGGAAAAUCGAUACCUUUUCCCUUCACCUUUUCCGUCUUUCGCCGCCGUGUGUUUCGAGGAUAGCGUUCCUCGUUGCUACUACGCAGCAAUAAUUUUGCGUCAAACCCCCCCGUGCGUUCAAAAGUUUGCGCGACACACAUUUCCGUCGUGAAUGAAACCCACAGUGAUGGUCGUAUCUGACCCGCCCAGGUGCCCUCCGAGAGGAGAGAAUGUUUGUUCGUUU
Molecule: long non-coding RNA, 785 nt
Organism: Ornithodoros turicata
Lineage: Eukaryota; Metazoa; Arthropoda; Arachnida; Ixodida; Argasidae
Exons: 3
Source: RefSeq, a predicted model, not a curated record